UACGUAGGGUGCGAGCGUUAAUCGGAAUUACUGGGCGUAAAGCGUGCGCAGGCGGUUUGUUAAGACAGAUGUGAAAUCCCCGGGCUUAACCUGGGAACUGCGUUUGUUACUGGCAAGCUAGAGUGUGUCAGAGGGAGGUAGAAUUCCACGUGUAGCAGUGAAAUGCGUAGAUAUGUGGAGGAAUACCGAUGGCGAAGGCAGCCCCCUGGGAUAACACUGACGCUCAUGCACGAAAGCGUGGGGAGCAAACAGG
RNAcentral lists this ribosomal RNA (253 nucleotides) under uncultured bacterium. RNAcentral's name for it is "partial 16S ribosomal RNA". It matches the Rfam family "Bacterial small subunit ribosomal RNA", at positions 524 to 776 of the family's 1533-position model. The record is from RNAcentral.